UACAGAGGUGGCAAGCGUUGUUCGGAAUUACUGGGCGUAAAGGGCGUGUAGGCGGUCUUGUAAGUCUUGUGUGAAAUCCCUCGGCUUAACUGAGGAACUGCACGGGAUACUGCGAGACUUGAGAUCGGGGGAGGGAAGCGGAAUUCCGGGUGUAGCGGUGAAAUGCGUAGAUAUCCGGAGGAACACCGGUGGCGAAGGCGGCUUCCUGGACCGACACUGACGCUGAGGCGCGAAAGCUAGGGGAGCAAACGGG
RNAcentral lists this ribosomal RNA (253 nucleotides) under uncultured bacterium. RNAcentral describes it as "partial 16S ribosomal RNA". It matches the Rfam family "Bacterial small subunit ribosomal RNA", at positions 524 to 776 of the family's 1533-position model. The record is from RNAcentral.